UUUGCCAUCUAACAAACUAAACAAAUAUUCCAACAAAAAGGAACGAGAUGAGAAUGUCGUGCUAACCUACGCAAUUCCAGCACCUUAUCUCUUGUUGGGAUCAUCUAAUCCGUCUUCUUCCUGCAUCUUCCUCAAAUCCUCUUAGGUUCUUUCCUCUCCUUUCUACACAAAUUGAUCACCCAUGUUGUUCGCCAGAAAAUGAUAAUGAAGAGUAUGCUACGUAUGUCGUAACCUUGCGAGGGGAAAUGUUACAGGUGGACCCAAAAUGGAGCUCGUUGAGCUUUGGGGACGCAGGAAUCACCAGUACAUUUAUUCGAUGAGAGUGGCCAUCCAUUGAUAUACCUCUUAUCAUGAAGUAUUUGCUGUUCCAAAAGGUUACAAUGCCUCCCAACAGGUGCACAUUUCUCAGGGUGACUUUGAAGAUCUCUCUCUUUGGUCUAUACGGAUUAAGAAAUCCGGCAACUGCGCGAGGCACGCCGGAAGAAUUACCUUUCAUCAACCAACAUACAUAAGAAACUCACUGGAAAGCAAACCAACUGCACAUUGGUCGAUAAGGAGGCACAACUUUUGCGAUACGGACAUAUCUCAUAUUUCCCUUUCCCUUUCAUCUUUUUCUAUUCUUUUGUUUCCUCUUUUAAAACCCACAAAGAUGUCACAAUCUUUCCUCAAAGGUAUAAAUAUCCAUUAAAUGUUUCAUUGUGGGCGUUGGUCUAAGACCGUUGAGUGAUUAUAGUUUUUAUUUUGGUUUCCUGGAUUGAUGUCAUUUUUUAUGUUGAAGCUUGUUUUUUGUA
Cucumis sativus (cucumber) is the source of this 791-nucleotide long non-coding RNA. RefSeq lists it as uncharacterized. The transcript is spliced from 6 exons. The record is from RefSeq and is a predicted model, not a curated record. Lineage: Eukaryota; Viridiplantae; Streptophyta; Magnoliopsida; Cucurbitales; Cucurbitaceae.